This 624-nucleotide unclassified non-coding RNA is filed under the name Centaurea nana. RNAcentral describes it as "partial external transcribed spacer". The record is from RNAcentral. Lineage: Eukaryota; Viridiplantae; Streptophyta; Magnoliopsida; Asterales; Asteraceae.
UGCGCAUCACCUCUUGCUUGUCUAGAUCAGCCCGGACGUUGGCAUGUGUAGCGUAUUUUGUCGAGUUUCGAGAUCAAGAAUCGAUGUCCCUAUGUUGGUUGGUUUUCCGAGAAUCCUUGACCCUUGAUUUGUUACUUUCGCAUCGUUCGGUGCAUUCUGGGGGAUGUUUUGGCUUUUGGUGGCUUACUUGGCCUUUUGGCUGGGUUUGUUGCUAUUGGUCGGGCGGCUUUCGGGAAUGUCGACCGUGGAGGUGCAUGAGUGGUGUUUGGUUUGUUACGUGUGGAUGGCUGUUUGCUUGCGCAACAACGUUCAUGCUGCAUACCUCUUCAGUUUUGCGGCAAGGCUUGGUUUGGCUUGUGCAUAUUGUGGGUUUCCUGUGUUGCAUACCUAGUUGAAGGAAAAGUGUGGGUUUUACGAUUUUCAUUUUCGUCUUGCGUCGUUCUUUCGGCAUGGAAUGAGCAAUGAAGCGAUCUUUAUGAUCCAUCGUGAUGUUGUGUUUGCAACAAUGAUGUGGCCUAUGAAGCAUCGUUUGGUCUCUUGUAUACGGAAGCUCAUUUGGGCUUGGGUCUUUAUAAGAUCUUUGUUAUGCCCUUGUUAAGCGUUCUCGCUUCUCCUAAACGAUUG